Dromaius novaehollandiae (emu) is the source of this 1188-nucleotide long non-coding RNA. RefSeq lists it as uncharacterized. The transcript has 4 exons. Lineage: Eukaryota; Metazoa; Chordata; Aves; Casuariiformes; Dromaiidae. The record is from RefSeq and is a predicted model, not a curated record.
UUUCUUCUAUCAAACUAUAAUUGAGUCCUUCUCUUGCUUACAAUUGUUUCAUGCUAGAGAAGCCAGAGAAGCCAAAUAAUUCAAUAUAAAUAAUUUACUAGGCAAAGCUUGGCUAGCUUUCUUUAACCUCUACAUUAAAAGCUCUUAAAUUGUUUAUAGUUCUUCAACGGAAAAUUCUGCGAGUCAGACUGAGCCAGUGGGCAACUCACAAACGCAGCGUAUUUAUUAUGAGUGGCCUCAUUUUCCAGCUGUUGUAGUGGGUCACCCAAGUCACACCGCGUCAGCUUUAUUGUUUCAGUUCCACGGUUGUUCGCUAUAAGAUGUAUACCUUGCUCUUCCAACAAUGAGUUUUGUUUGGAAACUAGUUCUGUUAUCCAUACUCUGUAAAAACAGCCACUUCCACCUGCACUCAUGGGGGCUGUACUUGUGCUGAGGAGUCCAUCAGAGAGUCAAAACUUACUAACUCAGGCAGAGAAACACACUAAUACCUCAUCUGCUUUGAGCCUAGAUCUGGUUCUUUUGCUUCAGCUAAAGCACCAUGGAGAGAUGCCCAGCGAGGAGUGAUCUGAGAGCAAUCAAUCAAUCAGAUCCGGACCACCAAAUCUCUCCACAGUAAACUACUGCAUGGGGCGCCAGCACCCAUCUCUUGGCUCCCAUGUCCUGGCCGGCAGAAAUGGCAGCGCACAGCAGCACUGCUACAGUGAGAACCAGACUGCCCCCCCAAAUCAAUGGGAUUUACACUCAUUUUCAAGAUGAAAAGAGUUAGACUGCUUUUCACACGGUCAUGGGUGUUGUUCGAAUUGGGCUGUUACAAGUAUUUCCCUGUAAAAUGAAAAUGAUGUGUUGCAUUUGUUUUCUCUUUUGUCCCAGAUUUGAUCAGGCGUGCUGGUGUUCUUUGCAAAUGUGUCGUGAGUCACAAGGAACCCUGGGCUGACAGAGCACGGAAAAGAGUUCUUUAGAAAUUACCGAAUCUGUUUUGGAAAAGGAAGUGUCUCUGAAUCUUUGCCCCAGAAAGAAAAAACACUUCUGCAAAGCUGCAUCACUGCAGAACGUAACAUGGAACAGAUCAGCGUACAGAUGGAUACAGCUGUUAUCCUAUCUUGGCAACCAUGCUGUCCUCAGCUUCUGAAGAUAUGAGUCCAUGUGAAAUGCUCUGAAUACCGUUAAUUCUUAAGAGAUGAAGUUAAG